GGUGGCUCAGUGGUAGAGUGCUUGCCUUGCAUGCAUGGUCCCUAGGUUCAAUUCCUCAGCACCA
Molecule: transfer RNA, 64 nt
Filed under: Dipodomys ordii (Ord's kangaroo rat)
Lineage: Eukaryota; Metazoa; Chordata; Mammalia; Rodentia; Heteromyidae
Rfam family: tRNA
About the family: Transfer RNA (tRNA) molecules are approximately 80 nucleotides in length.
Source: Rfam by way of RNAcentral